RNAcentral lists this long non-coding RNA (293 nucleotides) under Macaca mulatta (Rhesus monkey). Its description in RNAcentral is "lncRNA (ENSMMUG00000058161.1)". Lineage: Eukaryota; Metazoa; Chordata; Mammalia; Primates; Cercopithecidae. The record is from RNAcentral.
GCUCCCCCUACUCCAGACAUGCUGAAUCAGAAAUUUUGAGGUUGAGGUCCAGGAAUGUGUUUUAACAAGUCCUCCAGGAUGCACUCUCAUGUUUGAAACACCACAUACCUAGAUGACGAGUUUAACGAUGAGCCAAGACUCUUCAUAUUCCACAAUUCACCAUCAGAAAGACGGCACGCUCCUCUGAUUCACAGUCCUUUUAGAUAUUCCUGGAACGGUCAUCCUGUAGGAGACUCGUUUCAUCGGUACACAGUAAGUAUGUUCUGGUAGCAUGGGAAUUCCAUGUCAUAAGA